Molecule: long non-coding RNA, 2502 nt
Filed under: Nicotiana tabacum (common tobacco)
Lineage: Eukaryota; Viridiplantae; Streptophyta; Magnoliopsida; Solanales; Solanaceae
Description: long non-coding RNA (NTAB_LNC015055)
Source: RNAcentral
GGUGACCUUUGUUGAUAGCUUUUGGCUACGGUUUUUAAGCCACUCUUAAUAAGCGUUCUUUUUAAGUGAUAAGGCAACGCAAUUUAAGCGUUGCCAAAUCACAAAGUAAUUGACAACGCUUAUUCAUUCAUGUGGCAACGCUUUCAGAGUGUGCUAAGCUUAUAUUCUAAAAGCAACACUUUCCAAGUGUGCUCUAAAAUAACCCAAAAAAAUAUUUUCCUCCCCCCACAAAAUUCCCCCCUUUAUUGCUUUUAGUGAAAUAUUCAAAUAUUUUCCCCAUUUUGAAAAAGCAAAUCAGGUGCUAUGACCAUCCUUUCGAAAUCGUUCGUUAAGUUUGUCUCUUCGACUCUUCGAAACCUCCGCCAAUUUUUGAAAUCUCCAUCGACACCACCUUUGUGAGUUUCUUCAGGCUUCUAGAAGUUUUACCUCCACAAGGGAUACAGGGCCACUCAAGUUCAAGGAACCGAUCCUUCACGCACUUUCGCAGAGGUAAUCGAUACUGAUAAACCCUAUAAGCUUUCCUUCUUUUGGGAAUUCAACCUUUCUGGUUUCUCACUCAUCAGAAAGUUUUUUUUGGUUCUUGUUUUGUUUGCUCUUAUUUUGGUUGUUUAAGGAAUAAUAAGGCAUCAGGUAAUACGACAUUAUUUUUAGGUCUUAUUAGUUUUCUGGGUCUUGUAUGUUCAUUCUUAUAUCGGUAGUGAAAUAUUAGAUCAUUUUAUUCUUUGUUGCUAUAUAACUUUAUUGUUGAAUUCCUAUUUCAUUUUAUUUAUUAAUUUUUGAGUGUUUCAAGUGCUAUUGGAUAAGAAGGGGUGACUUACCAACUAUCUAAUGAACUUUCUCUUCGCCAUGCCUUUUUAUUCUUGGUUGAAGAAGCUGGACACAAAUUAAAAAUAGUUCUUCACUUUGUAGUUUAUUAAUCUCCUUUCUUAUUAAGGAUAAAAUAAUACCAUCUAAAGUUUGAAAAUGAGGAGUCCAAUUUGGUAAAGUUAUUAUUAUUAUUAUUUUUUUGAAAUUUUGGUAAUUAAUGUGAAGUUUUAUAACAUCUUGGCCAAGUUUGAAAAGAAAGAGGCAAGUUGGUGAAGAUCUCUUGAUGUCCAUGAACUUCAAAAAAGAUGCUAUGAAGAAAAGAAUUAUGCAAGUUGGUAAAGAUCUUAUCUGCAUUUUGUUUGGUACGAGUUUUGAAUGUUCAUAAUGUCACAUAUACAUACACCAUAUUGAUCUUUAUUUCACACUUGACUGAUUGGUUGUAAUUUGGGUAGAGUGACAUCAGAUGUGCUUGCUUUUGCUUACUAUUUUUCGGCCUGCUAAAAUAUUUUCAUUGACCAAGAGGUCAACCAGGCAUUUAUAGCUGUAAUGUUCUCAAUUGUUUUAAUGCUUGAGAUUAGUUUGAGCGAAAGAAUUUCAAAGAUGUGAAACUGCUAUGUUAAACGUAUAUAGGAUUUCUGAGCUUUCACUGAUAUCAGUAAUUUAUAAUCAAAAUAUUUUCUUGUUUUUGUAUGGGGAGCAUCUUGAUGGUUAGGAUAUAUUAACUCUAUCAACUGUUUCACUAGCUUUCACUGUGUUUGCUUGCCUUAAGUCUGUUGUUUCUUUACUUGAAUUCUUGGCUGAAAUGUUAUGUUUAUAUAUUUUUUGUGUGCAGGUUAGAUCAUUUUAUAGCUGAGUAUUGUAAAUUCUACCUAGCUUACCUAGUACCUACACCCUCCAACGCUACUAUUACAGGUAAAAACUCUGUAAUAGUGAAAAUUGGUCACUGGAUUUUUAACCUCUUACAUGCGUUGAAUCAUCUCCAUGACUAUCCGUUCAUUAUUUUUUUCAAUGAACUCUUGUGUUUGGAUUUGCUUAGAAAUACAUGUUGUAUUGUAAGGAUACUAGGCAACUAUACUGGAAUUUACUAGGAAGUAUUUAUAUCUUGUGACAUAUAAUUAGGUGCAUUUGAAAAUUUUGUUCUGUUGACUUAUUGACUGAAGUGAACUUUCCUUUUUAGAGAAGAAGUUCACUUACCGAAUUUGUCUAUUAAUAUACAAUAGUUAAACACAAGAAAGCAACAGAGUCAUACUAGACUAGUAAUUGAAGAAUUUCAAAAUAUUCUGCCAAUGGAAAGAAUACAUAAAUAUUUUAGUAACAGAAAGAAUUUCUAAUAUGUUGGUUUUAGGAACAAGUAUCAUAUUCAACUCUAGAGAGAAUGUGACUAGAUGUCUAGAUGAUUAGAAAACAGAAAGGCCAAUAAAACAUGAUUAUUGUCCAUAGGUUCUGUUAUUGAAUCAUUACAACAUAAAGAUUACACUUUGAUCUCAUGAAUACUGUAACAUAUAUAGAUUUUCUUCUAUUUUUGCAAUUUAUUUUAGUCCUUUAUAUGUAUAUCUCAUACUCAUAUCUGAUAGUAUUGUAAUUGUUGUCAUUUUAAAGUAGUGUGUGCUUUUGUACGUGGACAAGAAUGUGUUCAAGUCAUUUGUGGUAUCUAGCCCUUGGAAAAAAUACACAUAGUAUGUUGCUAUAUUGGUG